AGUCUUUGCUGAUUUUCCCACAGGUCAAUGCAACAACUGUAUCGCUUUAACUAAUUUAUUUGUAUCAUUUUUAUUUCCUUUGAGACAUUUGUAUAAUUAACCCUGGAAGUCUCAAAAUAACUUGCACAAAUUGGUGCAAUCAAUGUAAGGUUUUACCUUCAUGGAUGGGUAGGUUGGCAAAAUGUCAUUAAUAUGUAGGCCAGAGGAAUUAUCUUAACUGGUCCUGACUUUUGAUAUGAAUGAGGGAGAGGGAAGUGAAUUUAACAAUACUAGAAGGAAGACUAUGGGUUGAGUUUGACUUAAAUGUUUGCUCAAUAAUGGCUUGCAUUAUAUUUAUAUUGGGCCUACAGUACACAUCCAAAAAUAGAUUAAAUUACAACAAUCACUAGUGCACUUCCACAGCUACUUUAUUUUGCCCUCCUUUUGAAAGUGUUGGCGAAUGAAAUUAGGACUGCAAUAGUAUUUUCAUUGUUUACUGAUUAAGAAUGAUAUUCUUAAUGAAACAAAUUGCUGCAACAAUAAGUGGGCAUGGUACAAGAUAUCUCUUUCUCUUUUGGGGUGGGUGGGGUAUGACCCAAUUCUUUUCUGAGCUCCAUCCAAUGUAGUUUGGGGAUUGUGUAACCUUGAAGUAUGGAAGGUCUGUCUUUGAGUAAAAAUUGCAUUAGCAGUUUUGCAUGCCUUUAAUGUAAGAUGACAAGCAUUUUAUGUAAGACGUUGGGUACUAACCUUGGGUCUCUAACUUUACAUGUUCUUUUUUUAUAACAUGAUAUUAAGAAUAUGUUGGUGUUUUAGCAUAGAUUCUAACUACCUACUGGUUUAUCGAAACACAGAAUUAAUUAAAAGAAUAAAUAAGCCAUCUUAUUGUUUCGGUUCUUUCUCAUUGCUCACUCGUGCUAAUUGUGGAUUUGGUUCUUUGCUAAAAUGAUAUCAGGAACUAUCAUCUGACCUUUAUUUAUAGAUUAGUUUAUUUAGUGAAUGUCCUAUCAGGUAUAAAUUAAUAAGAGAGCUCACAUUUAAGUUUACAAUUGAUUGUGCUGCUUCCUCAGUCGAUGGUGCUUUUUUUAAGAGGUUCUUUGACUUUAAGAGGCUGUCAUAUAAAUUUCCAAAUAUGCUCUUCAAUUUGGUCUCAGGGCUGUAUCCUAGUAUGUGGACAGGACUGUACUCUAGAAGUAUAAAGUUUCUAUAGGUUAUUCUACAGUAAAAUUUCCACCAUAGCCUAAAUUUGCAUAUUUACUGCUUUUCAUAAAAUAUUUCUGAUUGCUGUUA
Molecule: unclassified non-coding RNA, 1266 nt
Filed under: Hevea brasiliensis (rubber tree)
Lineage: Eukaryota; Viridiplantae; Streptophyta; Magnoliopsida; Malpighiales; Euphorbiaceae
Source: RNAcentral